This 267-nucleotide ribosomal RNA is filed under the name uncultured Carnobacteriaceae bacterium. RNAcentral's name for it is "partial 16S ribosomal RNA". It matches the Rfam family "Bacterial small subunit ribosomal RNA", at positions 505 to 769 of the family's 1533-position model. The record is from RNAcentral. Lineage: Bacteria; Bacillati; Bacillota; Bacilli; Lactobacillales; Carnobacteriaceae.
GUGCCAGCAGCCGCGGUAAUACGUAGGUGGCAAGCGUUGUCCGGAUUUAUUGGGCGUAAAGCGAGCGCAGGCGGUUAUGUAAGUCUGAUGUGAAAUCCCCCGGGCUCAACCGGGGAGGGUCAUUGGAGACUGGAUGCACUGGAGUGCAGAAGAGGAGAGUGGAAUUCCACGUGUAGCAGUGAAAUGCGUAGAUAUGCGGAGGAACACCAGUGGCGAAGGCGAUUCUCUGGUCUGUAACUGACGCUGAGGCUCGAAAGCGUGGGGAGC